This is a small nuclear RNA of Vulpes vulpes (red fox), 84 nucleotides long. Its record names the gene U4. It matches the Rfam family "U4 spliceosomal RNA". Rfam says of the family: U4 small nuclear RNA (U4 snRNA) is a component of the major U2-dependent spliceosome. The structure of U4 snRNA from yeast and human has been reported. The record is from Ensembl. NCBI's taxonomy places the organism in Eukaryota, Metazoa, Chordata, Mammalia, Carnivora, Canidae.
AGCUUUGCGCAGUGGCAGUAUCCUAGCCAAUGAGGUUUAUCUGAGGCGCGAUUAUUACGAAUUGAAAACUCUUAUCCCAAGGGA